Podarcis muralis (Common wall lizard) is the source of this 646-nucleotide non-coding RNA. The record is from RefSeq and is a predicted model, not a curated record. Lineage: Eukaryota; Metazoa; Chordata; Lepidosauria; Squamata; Lacertidae.
CCGGUCCCCCACAAGGUCUGAGGGACAGUGGACCAGCCCCCUGGUGAAAAAGUUUGCUGAGCCCUGAGUUAAAUGAACUACAUUGCCUUAUAGAUUCAGCCCAAACUGGGAAUACAGGACUGAGCAUACCAUCUACUCUCUGAACAGCCAGGAAACACAGAUCUCAUAUAUCAAGGUACACGGCAUAGGGCCACAUCUCUCUGUCCUGAUGUUUUGAGAAAUUAAGACAAGCACACAUGGGAACUCUGGUCAAAGGGCACUUUGCACAAACAAGUAACCAAGGACAACAAGAGAAGCACAAGUAGGGCAUAUUACUAACAUUCGUCUUCUCAGAAAUAAUAGGUACCAUGCCUCAAGAUUCUAGAGGUAGGAACCCCAGUUCCAGAUGCUGGAAGAAGUAAGCCAGGAAAGUGUGUCAAAGAAACAGGAGACAGACAGCAGGAUUCAGAACAUAGGGUGGGCAACAAUGCGUCAGGAAUGUGUCAUCACUUUUCCCAACCCAGUAUUCAGGCGGACUUUUUAAGAGGGAGAAGUGAUGUAUUGAGGGUGGGGUGAGAUGACUAAGGAAGGGAAGAGCUGAAGACUGCCCCCCCCCCGAUAUUUCAUGGUCUCUCAACUAGUUUAUCAAUAAAAUGCUGAUAUGCUA